RNAcentral lists this ribosomal RNA (450 nucleotides) under uncultured bacterium. RNAcentral's name for it is "partial 16S ribosomal RNA". It matches the Rfam family "Bacterial small subunit ribosomal RNA", at positions 330 to 793 of the family's 1533-position model. The record is from RNAcentral.
UCCAGACUCCUACGGGAGGCAGCAGUGGGGAAUAUUGGACAAUGGGGGGAACCCUGAUCCAGCGACGCCGCGUGAGUGAAGAAGUAUUUCGGUAUGUAAAGCUCUAUCAGCAGGGAAGAAAGAAAUGACGGUACCUGACUAAGAAGCCCCGGCUAACUACGUGCCAGCAGCCGCGGUAAUACGUAGGGGGCAAGCGUUAUCCGGAUUUACUGGGUGUAAAGGGAGCGUAGACGGCGAUGCAAGUCUGAAGUGAAAGGCGGGGGCCCAACCCCCGGACUGCAUUUGGAACUGUGUGGCUGGAGUGUCGGAGAGGCAGGCGGAAUUCCUAGUGUAGCGGUGAAAUGCGUAGAUAUUAGGAGGAACACCAGUGGCGAAGGCGGCCUGCUGGACGAUGACUGACGUUGAGGCUCGAAAGCGUGGGGAGCAAACAGGAUUAGAUACCCCAGUAUG